UUUGCCUGAGAAGGCUUUACUUGGUGGGAUCCAUGUACUGGCCACUUCUAGAGUUCUUGGGCUGUUGAUAAGUUCAUCCUGAGGCUCUUGGUGCUCAGCCCAGAAGUCUACAAUUGCUUGACCUUUUAUUGCUCUUUGAGGCACAUAUUGAAAAAUGAACUCUAAUAGUGCUACAAUCCAUUUUCCAAUCCUUCUAGUUAGCAUUGGUUUUGAUAGCAUGUACCUGAUUACAUAUGUCUUAGCAAUAAUAUGAAUGUGGCUAGGCAACAUGUUAUG
RNAcentral lists this long non-coding RNA (276 nucleotides) under Malus domestica (apple). RNAcentral's name for it is "long non-coding RNA (MDOM_LNC012546)". Lineage: Eukaryota; Viridiplantae; Streptophyta; Magnoliopsida; Rosales; Rosaceae. The record is from RNAcentral.